AAAGAAAAGUAAAGGACUAAAUUGUAAAGUUUAGUCACAUUUUGUAUCGAGUACUUAUCUAGUCACUCGGGGAUCGAAGGAAAUGUCGGAGGCCGAUCACACUAUCAAAGAAAUAACUCGGUAUAACUAGACGUUUUGUUUUGGGUAUGGCAUGUAUAGAAACUUAGCCACUUUUGGUAUAAUAUGAACAAUGAAUGAUGUGUAAAUACUUGCUAGUGAUUAGCUAAUAAAAA
Gossypium arboreum is the source of this 233-nucleotide long non-coding RNA. RefSeq lists it as uncharacterized. The record is from RefSeq and is a predicted model, not a curated record. Lineage: Eukaryota; Viridiplantae; Streptophyta; Magnoliopsida; Malvales; Malvaceae. The transcript has 2 exons.